Panicum virgatum (switchgrass) is the source of this 2698-nucleotide long non-coding RNA. RefSeq lists it as uncharacterized. The transcript has 4 exons. Lineage: Eukaryota; Viridiplantae; Streptophyta; Magnoliopsida; Poales; Poaceae. The record is from RefSeq and is a predicted model, not a curated record.
UGACACUUGACCACCGUUCAAGCAUUAUGUUAACAUCAGAAACAAUAGAACCAUGAAUGAAUAUUUACAGUUGGGAGGAUUAUGAAAAUUUAGGAGCUUUAGCUGCUACAUGGAGACUGGUGUCAUCAUUUGUUUAACUAACUACUCUCCCACUCAGAUCAUUGGACUUUAUGGAUGUAGUUGAUUUACUAUUCUGAGUCGUGUCUGCAGAGAAAUCAGGUUUCUCUGGCUGCUCGAUCUUUGUUUUUUUUUCCUGAUGAAUUUAAUACAAUUGGACUCCAGCCUGACCCAAACUAUGUUCUGGGUUUUUCAGAAUGCAUCAAGUAUGUAAUGUCAUGUUGACAUAUCUAUGGCUCUAUGCAUAAUCACAUCCUAGUUAUUAAUGCUAAUAUUAGAAAUAGAUUAUUAAAAUGGUAAAACUAUUAUUUUUCAGCAUUUGGCUAUGCUUGGGUGGAACUUGUGUUUGAAUAGGCCUAACAAACUAACCCUCCUUUACUCCUUUUGCUAGAAAGAACCAUCUAUACACAGUUUGCAUCAUAGAUGUGCCGAUGGACCAAUGUGUACUGCUUAGAACCAAAAUGUGUACUGCAGGUGCUUACAGUGCAGCAUCCUGGGUUGCUUGCUACAAACUUCAAGCCAUUGACUUGGUGGAAGACCGAUUUCAACUUCGUGACUAUAUUCUGACUUUCUUGUUUUGGCUAGCUAUCACCUGGCUGGUGCCAAUGGGCAUUUGAUGUUAGCAACUCCUUGCUGCCGGAAUCUCCUGAUUGUGGGAUGAAGGAAUUAAAGAAAUCUGUCCUAUGGCUUCAACCACCAUCUAUCUUGAACCUUUGUUACUGUCCAGCAAUUCCUUGAUUGCCCCACCCUCACAGAUACUGUAAGUGCAGGAGGUAAGAGAUCAGAUGCACCCAGAAUCCUAGAUGGUAUCUUGUAGUUGCUGAUCCAAUUCUUAGAAAUAUAGCACUUUGUCGACAUUUGUCAGGUCAUUCCUCCUUAAAUUAAUUAUUUUUUUACGCAUGAUAUACUUGUUUAUGAGUAAAGUUUUGUUGUGUCAUUUUUCGAACAUGAAAAUAAGAAACAGCUCUAGUUAUUCCUGCAAAUAUAUAAUUACUGACUAGGAAGCUAUUCACAUGUCGGACAAGCUCAAAAUGGAAGUGAUCAAGGACUGCUGCUAAUUGAAUCACAGAAAUGAGAACUGUAAUGCUGUAGACUGAAUGAACCUGGCUGCCCAUGUUCUCCAUUGGUGUGAGUAGAACCGGAAAAUGUGCUGCAGGUGCUUGGAAUGAAUAAUCCUGAAUGUGCUGGCCACAAACUUCAGGUCAUCUGCUUUCAGUGAGAAUGACUCAAACUAGGUGAUUGUUCUGACUGUUCUUGUUGAUAAUGGGUAGCUGUCACCAGAGCUGGGAAGCAAUGCCCAUGUUCUCCUUUGCGGAUGAUGUGGGUGCCCUCAGUACAAAGGAGAUAGUUCAUACGCUCACAAAUAACAUCAAGUAGUUGGUGGUCCAUUGCAGAGAAGAGUGGCACCUACAAUGUCGAUUGAAAUAUUAUGGCUUGGUUCCUCGUUCAAAUAUCAAGUAGAGUUGAUGGUUGAUAUUAUUGCAGAAUAUUUUAGCAACAACCAGAAUACCACUUACAUGUUGAACAAGAUCGAGGCAUAGCCACUGUUUUAUGUCUCGACGAAGAUCAACAGGUAGCUGUUUCAGGAUUGAGUCCUGUUCAACUCCCUGUGUUGCAAUCCACUUGUACUCCAUGAACUGACAUAUGCGCUUUUACAAAUCAUCAGGUAUUUGAUGAUCUGUCAUCCAAUCCUCCAUUUCUAUUCUCUGUAGCCUCCAAUCUUCUGCAUUUUUUGGAAGAGAUCUCAUAUAGACCUGUGGACAUUUACUUUUCCUCAUUAAGAUCUACUAUAUUGGACCAAGAUUAUCAGAAACAAAAAGGUGUCGAUAUAUCUGAAGCUCAAAGAAGGCAGGAUUGCCCACACAAGGAUCUGCACAUGUGAGGAAGGUGCAUUAGUAUUCAACAAUAACACAUAAACCACUCUCUUCUGAUUGCAGUUGUGGAGUUCUCUGAAAAAGGACACCACCUGUGGAACAGGCAAUGCUGCUGCGAGGUCGAUGAAGAAGUUCGUUCUGAUGUAUCUGUAUGCAAUUCUUUUAGGAUCUGUGACAAGCUCGCCCUUGCCAAGCAUUAUGGAGCCUGGAUCAAUAUAUGCAGUGAAAAAUCUUGUAGCAAUAUGAACUACAAAGAACAUGUCGAUAAGAGUCCAAAGAUGUGAGCACGAUGGCAAAAUGGUGGUAUAGUUUCAUGCGUUGGGGGUAUGCACUCUCAACGGUUCGCAAGAAGAAAAAUAGAGGAUCAACACAUUGAGAAGCUACACGGGUGAUGAGGAAAGCGCGGUUCCAUAUCAGUACAGUGUUGCCUCCAGGGUCUAGAAUCCAGUUUUGCCGGCAUGUCCAGUGUAACUUAUACAUUGUCUUGUUUCCAGUUGUAUCAGCUGAGCCUGUUGCUGUUUUCUGUUGUUCGCCUCUUCCAUCCGUCCUGCUUGGGUUAAAACUGUGGAGAUGGAAAUUCAUAGCAGAAUCAUGUGCUAGUACUUUUGAGGGUAUAUAGAGUUCUACAUUAGGAACCUGUUCAUUUGAUUCCUAACUAAUUGUGAAGUCUGCUAAACUAAUGCCUAGAAGCAAGUUGCACUUGUUUA